This 253-nucleotide ribosomal RNA is filed under the name uncultured bacterium. Its description in RNAcentral is "partial 16S ribosomal RNA". It matches the Rfam family "Bacterial small subunit ribosomal RNA", at positions 524 to 776 of the family's 1533-position model. The record is from RNAcentral.
UACGAAGGGGGCUAGCGUUGUUCGGAAUCACUGGGCGUAAAGGGCGCGUAGGCGGCUUUAUAAGUCGGGGGUGAAAGCCUGUGGCUCAACCACAGAAUUGCCUUCGAUACUGUAGAGCUUGAGACCGGAAGAGGUAAGUGGAACUGCGAGUGUAGAGGUGAAAUUCGUAGAUAUCGGGAGGAACACCAGUGGCGAAGGCGGCGACCUGGACGGACACUGACGCUGAGACGCGAAAGCGUGGGGAGCAAACAGG